UACGUAGGGUGCGAGCGUUAAUCGGAAUUAUUGGGCGUAAAGCGCGUGUAGGCGGCUUUGCAAGUCGGGUGUGAAAGCCCUCAGCUCAACUGAGGAAGUGCGCCCGAAACUGCAGAGCUUGAGUGCCGGAGAGGGUGGCGGAAUUCCCCAAGUAGAGGUGAAAUUCGUAGAUAUGGGGAGGAACACCGGUGGCGAAGGCGGCCACCUGGACGGUAACUGACGCUGAGACGCGAAAGCGUGGGGAGCAAACAGG
RNAcentral lists this ribosomal RNA (253 nucleotides) under uncultured bacterium. RNAcentral's name for it is "partial 16S ribosomal RNA". It matches the Rfam family "Bacterial small subunit ribosomal RNA", at positions 524 to 776 of the family's 1533-position model. The record is from RNAcentral.